RNAcentral lists this ribosomal RNA (465 nucleotides) under uncultured bacterium. RNAcentral describes it as "partial 16S ribosomal RNA". It matches the Rfam family "Bacterial small subunit ribosomal RNA", at positions 338 to 795 of the family's 1533-position model. The record is from RNAcentral.
CCUACGGGCGGCAGCAGUGGGGAAUAUUGCGCAAUGGGCGAAAGCCUGACGCAGCGACGCCGCGUGAGGGAUGAAGGUCCUCGGAUCGUAAACCUCUGUCAGCAGGGAAGAACGGUCACUGUGCUAAUCAGCAGUGAAUUGACGGUACCUGCACAGGAAGCACCGGCUAACUCCGUGCCAGAAGCCGCGGUAAUACGGAGGGUGCGAGCGUUAAUCGGAGUUACUGGGCGUAAAGCGCGCGUAGGCGGUAUGUCAAGUCAAGGGUGAAAUCCCCGCGCUCAACGUGGGAACUGCCUUUGAAACGGGCAGGCUGGAGGGUGUGAGAGGAAGGUGGAAUUCCAGGUGUAGGAGUGAAAUCCGUAGAUAUCUGGAGGAACAUCAGUGGCGAAGGCGACUAACUGGCACAUAACUGACGCUGAGGAGCGAAAGCGUGGGUAGCAAACAGGAUUAGAUACCCGAGUAGUC